Molecule: ribosomal RNA, 760 nt
Filed under: uncultured Prevotella sp.
Lineage: Bacteria; Pseudomonadati; Bacteroidota; Bacteroidia; Bacteroidales; Prevotellaceae
Description: bacterial SSU rRNA
Rfam family: Bacterial small subunit ribosomal RNA
Source: RNAcentral
GAUGAACGCUGGCUACAGGCUUAACACAUGCAAGUCGAGGGGAAACGACGGGGAAGCUUGCUUCCCCGGGCGUCGACCGGCGCACGGGUGAGUAACGCGUAUCCAACCUGCCUCUGACUGAGGGAUAACCCGUCGAAAGUCGGCCUAAUACCUCAUGGCAUCGUCUGCGGGCAUCCAACGACGAUUAAAGAUUUCAUCGGUCAGGGAUGGGGAUGCGUCUGAUUAGCUUGUUGGCGGGGUAACGGCCCACCAAGGCGACGAUCAGUAGGGGUUCUGAGAGGAAGGUCCCCCACAUUGGAACUGAGACACGGUCCAAACUCCUACGGGAGGCAGCAGUGAGGAAUAUUGGUCAAUGGGCGAGAGCCUGAACCAGCCAAGUAGCGUGCAGGAUGACGGCCCUAUGGGUUGUAAACUGCUUUUAUGCGGGGAUAAAGUGAGGGACGUGUCCUUCAUUGCAGGUACCGCAUGAAUAAGGACCGGCUAAUUCCGUGCCAGCAGCCGCGGUAAUACGGAAGGUCCGGGCGUUAUCCGGAUUUAUUGGGUUUAAAGGGAGCGUAGGCCGUGGAUUAAGCGUGUUGUGAAAUGCAGGUGCUCAACGUCUGCACUGCAGCGCGAACUGGUCCACUUGAGUGUGCGCAACGCAGGCGGAAUUCGUCGUGUAGCGGUGAGAUGCUUAGAUAUGACGAAGAACUCCGAUUGCGAAGGCAGCUUGCGGGAGCACAACUGACGCUGAAGCUCGAAAGUGCGGGUAUCGAACAGG